GACGGUAUAGCUUAAGUGGUAGAGCACAUGCUUAGCAUGCACGAGGUCCUGGGUUCAAUCCUCAGUACCUCCA
This 73-nucleotide transfer RNA is filed under the name Camelus ferus (Wild Bactrian camel). It matches the Rfam family "tRNA". Rfam says of the family: Transfer RNA (tRNA) molecules are approximately 80 nucleotides in length. Their secondary structure includes four short double-helical elements and three loops (D, anti-codon, and T loops). The record is from Rfam by way of RNAcentral. Lineage: Eukaryota; Metazoa; Chordata; Mammalia; Artiodactyla; Camelidae.